This 2239-nucleotide long non-coding RNA is filed under the name Homo sapiens (human). Its description in RNAcentral is "HSALNT0365743". Lineage: Eukaryota; Metazoa; Chordata; Mammalia; Primates; Hominidae. The record is from RNAcentral.
CUUUUCCUGAGGCGGUUGGCCGAAGGUGGCCCUCCUGACUCAUUCACUUUCCGUUUCUUCCCACAGAUACGUUCAUUAAUGCUUUUUCCAGCCGGAGACAAACUUUUUGGGGGUGGGGUAGGGGGGGUAUGGAGGGAGAGUUGGCUAGGGCUGCGGGUAACCCAGCGCCUACUGCCGGGGAAGACUCGGACGAAAACCGAGGCAAACCAACCAUUAAAAAGUGCAUCCAAUAAGAAUUUUUCCACUCAGGCCCUCCGCUGCCGAGACGCGGCAGACUCCCAGAGCGGCUCACCCACUCAUCGAAGCGGAUUCUGGGCGGUUUCGGGCUGACCCGCGCUGUCAGGGCGCGGACUCCAUUCCGGGCGCAUUGUUAGGAGAAGGGGCCCCUCGGGGCGGCGCGCCUCGACCCUGGGCUCCCGGUGCCCGCAGAGGGCGGAGAUCCGCGGCGCCCUAGGCCACCUAUCCGCAUCUUCUCGAGCCAAACCCCCAGCGCUUACCCGGACCCGACGGCCCAAGCACUGACUCCCAGGCAAGAGUCGCCCUUCCUGGUCCCCAGGGAACUGACACUACCGCGGGACGUUCCCUCUAGGACAGUCAGCAGGUCCCAGGAGCGCAGCACGCAACAGCGCAGAGCAGACCCAGACUUUUCCCGGGGUGAGACCCGGAGGCCCGCGCUCUGGACCGUCCUCCCUACCCAGCCUGGAGGCCGGCGUUCCCCGGCCCAACCCGGAGACCUCCCCGCCUCCCUCCUGGGCCGCCGCGCGCCCCAGUUGGAGCAGCCUCGAGGGGCUGGGCCCUUUCGGCCGGACUCCCUUCUCCCGGACAUCCAAAACAGGUUACCUUGUCCACGCUCUCCGGACCACGCUUUGGACUUGCUCACUUUUAUUUAAGAGUCCGACGGGGGAAAGAGGGAAAAAAAAUCCAGAGGAGAUCCAAGUCAAUUGGAAGAAAAAAUUUCAAAAGGGUGUCCACAGAGGCGAAAAAAGCCCAGGCUCUACCGACCUUCAAACUACAACAGAGCUUUCAGGAGAAUGCGGAGAGACGGCUUCCCACCCGGACCUCACCAGAAACCCGCACACCCCAGCCACAUUGCUCCUCAUUCAGCCAGAAAGGACUCCAACUCCACCACCAGGAGGCCCCCCUUCCUGGUGCUGGCCAGUUGCAGAGGCUGUUCAUGGCAUCCCACAGCCCCCUGGGAGAAGCUCCUGUCCAUUCACAGAGGUCUCCACCCAGAAAGAAGACCCCACCUAACUCUGACUAGAUGCCUGCGGGAAUCUCGGAUUUCCUCCAUCCAGUGUUGGCAUGCCCGUAGGUCAGUUUGCCCCACUUUUAUGUAACUCAGGGUUUGAUGGUCAACUCCACUGCUACUGCUGCUUUUUUAAAUCCUGAAAGGGGAUGGGGGAAGCGCCCUAACCAAGCACAAUAGUAAACAAGUCUACCCUGUUUAAUGUGGUUACCACCAGACAUCUGGAAAGAUGGUUUGAUCCUGGCAGCUCACAUUGUUUUCACGAGCAGCCAAAGGGGAUAUUUUGAAUGUUUGCAUUGAGACAAAUUGAUAGAGAGCCUGCGGUGAGGGCCUACAAAUGAAAACUGUCUUGUGUUAGUGGGGCAGACCUCCCCUUCCCUCUCCUCUCCCUCCUCUCUUCUCUCCUUCCUCUUUCCUUAGUCUCUGGGCCCAGCUUGGGGAAGGCUGCCCCUGCCCACACACUUGUGCACACCCUCUUUCCUGGCUUACCAUGGCUCCAAUGGCCUCGCCCUUUCCCAGACUGGGCAGAGCUGCUGAACAGGAGCUGGUAUGAGUGCCAUCGGCGACAGCUCACUUUCCAGCAGCUCGGGGCUGGUUUUCAAGUCAGAGGCAGCUCACAGCCAAGGAAGCUCUUCCCAGUAUUUAAAACAAAAGCUACCAACUGGAGAAAAAAAUGUCCCAACAACAAAACAGCCCACCACAUGUUUCCAAGUCUGGGGUCACUUACAGAAACCGUGCACAUGGGCGUGAAUACUCAGGAAAUAUUUGGAUUUGGAGCAUUUUCAUUUGGAACGCUGGUGAGACGACUUGCCUCGCACCAUUCGCACUUGACAGUAUUUUCAAAGAUGCGGAAGUCCUGCUUCCCCCGGGAGGGGAGCGGCGGGUCGAAACGUGUCUUGGCUCGCUCAAUGUCAGCCCUUUUGACCCGGUCAAGACUUUCCAGACACGGGCUUCCCGGGCUUCUUCGGCCCCAGACUGGGUUUGGGGUGGGCG